This 1330-nucleotide ribosomal RNA is filed under the name Cadenatella pacifica. RNAcentral describes it as "eukaryotic LSU rRNA". It matches the Rfam family "Eukaryotic large subunit ribosomal RNA", at positions 41 to 961 of the family's 3401-position model. The record is from RNAcentral. Lineage: Eukaryota; Metazoa; Platyhelminthes; Trematoda; Plagiorchiida; Lepocreadiidae.
UAUCACUAAGCGGAGGAAAAGAAACUAACCAGGAUUCCCUUAGUAAUGGCGAAUGAACAGGGAAAAGCCCAGCACCGAAGCCUGUGGCCGUUUGGUCACUAGGCAAUGUGGUGUUCAGGUCAAUCCGCAGGGAGACUGCUCCACUCUAAGUCCAGCAAUGAGUACGGCAUCAUGGACGUGGCCCACAGAGGGUGAAAGGCCCGUGGGGGUGGAGAAUCGAUAAGCCAGUCUCUCUCUGGACAGACCUUGGAGUCGGGUUGUUUGAGAAUGCAGCCCAAAGUGGGUGGUAAACUCCAUCCAAGGCUAAAUACAAGCACGAGUCCGAUAGCGAACAAGUACCGUGAGGGAAAGUUGAAAAGUACUUUGAAGAGAGAGUAAACAGUGCGUGAAACCGCUCAGAGGCAAGCGGGUGGAGUUGAACUGCAAGCUCCGGGGAUUCAGCUGGUGAGCAUGGUUUGAGCUCGGUCAAAUUGGUUGAGCCGCUUGGUCCGCAGUUGCGGGUCUCUGUUCUCGGAUAGAGAUACACGACGCGCUCGUCAGGCGCUGUGUGCCAUGUGGUAUCGGACUGGCUGGCCAGUGCACUUUCCCGGAGUGGUCACCACGACUGGCAUGGCAGUCUGGCUGUUACGGUUAAACCGGUGCUGUAUUGUCCUUGUGGCUUUGCAGUGUCGGGACGGCAGGUAGCUCGUUAGUGUUCUGUAGCUUGCUGCAGAUGCUCUCGGGUGUAAUCAGCUGACCGCAAUGGUUCUGUGCUGUAUGUCAGAGACGGCGGCUAGUGGUGUGUGCGUGCAUGCCAUCUUGUAGGCAGGCUCGGGUCUGAUUGUCAUGUUGCUUACUAAAGUAGGCCUGGCAGUGGCUCGGGUUUGUUCUAUGAGUGGUUGUGUGUGUGACACUUCCCAGGGCCAAUAGUCUGUGGUGUAGUGGUAGACUAUCCACCCGGCCCGUCUUGAAACACGGACCAAGGAGAGUAACAUGUACGCGAGUCAUUGGGUGCAACGAAACCCACAGGCGCAGUGAAAGUAAAGGCCUGGCUUGUCUAGGCUGAGGUGAGAUGCUGCCGUUCCUCAUGCAUGGUACCACCGAGCAUCGAGCGGCAGUCGCAUCACCGGCCCGUCCCAUGACGUAGACACAGGUCUUCGGACCAGUGCACCGUCGGGGCGGAGCAUGAGCGUACAUGUUGAGACCCGAAAGAUGGUGAACUAUGCUUGCGCAGGUUGAAGCCAGAGGAAACUCUGGUGGAGGACCGCAGCGAUUCUGACGUGCAAAUCGAUCGUCAAACGUGAGUAUAGGGGCGAAAGACUAAUCGAACCAUCUAGUAGCUGGUUCCCUC